RNAcentral lists this long non-coding RNA (1520 nucleotides) under Phascolarctos cinereus (koala). Its description in RNAcentral is "lncRNA (ENSPCIG00000032837.1)". The record is from RNAcentral. Lineage: Eukaryota; Metazoa; Chordata; Mammalia; Diprotodontia; Phascolarctidae.
GGCAGAAGGAGCCUUGAACUGGAAGCCAAAGGAGCUGAAUUGGAAUUCCACCUCUGCUACUUGCUAGUUGUGUGACCCUGGCCAAAUCACUGACCCCUCUGAGCCUGGGUAGUGGUCUUUUUCAGUUCCUCAGAGACUGUGGUCUUCCGUGUCUCAGUAAUUCAGCUAUCAUGGCAUUAACCAGUUGGGCCUCUGCUCCUGGGAGGAGCUUGGACACUUUAAAGGAAUUUGGCCAUUUUUUUCUUGGCUGAAUGAGAUUGUGCAACUUUGGACUUCUUUGAUGAAUUUGAAAUGAUCAGGAUGACAAAGCUUUUUUGUUAUCAGCACAGGCAAGUCCUCACUCCCACGCCCAGACUCCACCAAAAAGUCACAGAUGCUUUGGAGAUGGCAUUUCUCGGACCUGAGGGGAAACUUCCUCCCUUGAAUCUGUAUCCCCAGAUGUUGGGGCGCAUGGCGUGUUCAGGGAGGACCAGGACCUGCGGCGUGGGGGCUUGCCAAGCCCUUUCCAAAGUCUUACACAGUUAUUAGCCCAGCAGAACACGAGGACGCUUUGUAAAUCAGUAUGUACGUGUUGGGGCGCGCACUCAAACGCACCUUCCUUUUGGAGUGAUUUAGCGAGAUAGUUUGGAGGUCACGGGCAUAUUCCUGCUCUCUGACCCUCAACACCCCGAGCAGACCGAAAAUUAAUGCGCGUACGCUCUUAAGUUGUCUCAAAAUGAAGAUGAAUUUUAAGCUUCCAGAGUAAAUGGAUGAAAUCUCAUAUGCUGGAACCAAAACAUGUUCAAAACAGAAAACUUCUCUUCAGAAGCAUUAAGUAUGAAAAAAAUAUUCUUGCCUAGGUCUUUGGGGAUUAGAGAACGCUUGCCCUUUUGCUAGACGCACAGUGUGUGUGUGUGUGUGUGUGUGUGUGUGUGUGCCAAACAUAGCUAUCUUUUUGUGAGAACAUACAGAGACAGAAAACAUAAAACAGCGCCCAAAAUUGCUACAAGCAGCAAGGACGCGUGGGACUUUGCUCCUGGCACUGAUAUCCAGGGGAACGGCUUCCACCUCACGACAACCACUUUCCCUGAACCCCCCACACACCCCCUGGGUCUGCUGCCAGCCUGGACAACCUUGUGGAGAAGCCACCAUCCCCGGGGUCCCAUUGCCAGGAUUCCCUUCUCCUGGCAACAUUUUCCACUCCCCACCCAUGGGACUGAGCUAGAACACCCCAUAUCACAGCAAGACUGACUGAUUGAGAUCGCUGGUCAAGGAGGCAUGGAUGAGAAAAGGAAAGAAGCUGAUCGCCUACCUGCAGCUCAAGGGGUGACAGGGUCCCCAAUGCCCAUGUAAUAUCGGGAGACCUCGAAGGAGGCCCCCUCCCUCACCCACACACGGGGGUGGCCCUUUGUGAAGGAUUUGGGGGGAUGCAGCAGCAGUCACAGAGGAUGAACAGCUGUGGGUAAAUUGUGAGCUAUGGAUCCCCAAAUCAUUGUGGUCACAGAUCUAUCAAAGUAAUCUAAUAAUAACCUUUACGUGGG